RNAcentral lists this microRNA precursor (115 nucleotides) under Mus pahari (shrew mouse). RNAcentral's name for it is "miRNA (MGP_PahariEiJ_G0007678.1)". The record is from RNAcentral. Lineage: Eukaryota; Metazoa; Chordata; Mammalia; Rodentia; Muridae.
CUCACACUGACAGCUUGGAGGUGGCAACAGCUUUGGUGGCUUGGUUCUUUGUGCUUGAUCUGGAGAACACUGAGAACACCUGUCUGUUGCUGUUAAGUCUUAGUUCAGAGGAACU